GAGACGUUAGUAAACCAAUUACAUGGCCUUGUCAGGGCUAAAUCACAGGUGAAAACCCCGUACAUCUCA
Molecule: transfer RNA, 69 nt
Filed under: Asarcornis scutulata
Lineage: Eukaryota; Metazoa; Chordata; Aves; Anseriformes; Anatidae
Description: tRNA-Asp
Source: RNAcentral